This 520-nucleotide ribosomal RNA is filed under the name uncultured Glomus. RNAcentral's name for it is "SSU rRNA". It matches the Rfam family "Eukaryotic small subunit ribosomal RNA", at positions 569 to 1092 of the family's 1831-position model. Lineage: Eukaryota; Fungi; Glomeromycota; Glomeromycetes; Glomerales; Glomeraceae. The record is from RNAcentral.
AGCAGCCGCGGUAAUUCCAGCUCCAAUAGCGUAUAUUAAAGUUGUUGCAGUUAAAAAGCUCGUAGUUGAAUUUCGGGGUUAGUAGGUUGGUCAUGCCUCUGGUAUGUACUGGCCUCACUGAUUCCUCCUUCCUGAUGAACCGUAAUGCCAUUAAUUUGGUGUUGCGGGGAAUUUGGACUGUUACUUUGAAAAAUUAGAGUGUUUAAAGCAGGCUCGCGCUUGAAUACAUUAGCAUGGAAUAAUGAAAUAGGACGUUUGAUUCUAUUUUGUUGGUUUCUAGGAUCGGCGUAAUGAUUAAUAGGGAUAGUUGGGGGCAUUAGUAUUCAAUUGUCAGAGGUGAAAUUCUUGGAUUUAUUGAAGACUAACUACUGCGAAAGCAUUUGCCAAGGAUGUUUUCAUUAAUCAAGAACGAAAGUUAGGGGAUCGAAGACGAUCAGAUACCGUCGUAGUCUUAACCAUAAACUAUGCCGACUAGGGAUCGGAUGAUGUUAAUUUUUAAUGACUCAUUCGGCGCCUUAAC